This 440-nucleotide ribosomal RNA is filed under the name uncultured bacterium. RNAcentral's name for it is "bacterial SSU rRNA". It matches the Rfam family "Bacterial small subunit ribosomal RNA", at positions 338 to 795 of the family's 1533-position model. The record is from RNAcentral.
CCUACGGGUGGCUGCAGUGGGGAAUAUUGCACAAUGGGGGAAACCCUGAUGCAGCAACGCCGCGUGAGCGAUGAAGGCCUUCGGGUCGUAAAGCUCUGUCCUAAGGGAAGAAUACUGACGGUACCUUAGGAGGAAGCCCCGGCAAACUACGUGCCAGCAGCCGCGGUAAUACGUAGGGGGCUAGCGUUAUCCGGAAUUACUGGGGGUAAAGGGUGCGUAGGCGGCCCUUCAAGUCAGAGGUGAAAGGCUACGGCUCAACCGUAGUAAGCCUUUGGAACUGGAGGGCUUGAGUGCAGGAGAGGAGAGUGGGAUUCCCAGUGUAGCAGUGAAAUGCGUAGAUAUUGGGUGGAACACCAGUUUCCAAGGCAGCUCUCUGGGCUUUAACUGACGCUGAGGCACGAAAGCGUGGGGAGCGAACAGGAUUAGAUACCCCGGUAGUC